UACGGGGGGGGCAAGCGUUGUUCGGAAUUACUGGGCGUAAAGGGCUCGUAGGCGGUCAACUAAGUCAGACGUGAAAUCCCUCGGCUUAACCGGGGAACUGCAUCUGAUACUGGAUGGCUUGAGAUUGGGAGAGGGAUGCGGAAUUCCAGGUGUAGCGGUGAAAUGCGUAGAUAUCUGGAGGAACACCGGUGGCGAAGGCGGCAUCCUGGACCAACACUGACGCUGAGGAGCGAAAGCCAGGGGAGCAAACGGG
Molecule: ribosomal RNA, 253 nt
Filed under: uncultured bacterium
Lineage: Bacteria
Description: partial 16S ribosomal RNA
Rfam family: Bacterial small subunit ribosomal RNA
Source: RNAcentral